UCUCCAGACUCCUACGGGAGGCAGCAGUGGGGGAUAUUGCACAAUGGGGGGAACCCUGAUGCAGCGACGCCGCGUGGGUGAAGAAGUAUUUCGGUAUGUAAAGCCCUAUCGGCAGGGAAGAAAUUGGGCGGUACCUGACUAAGAAGCCCUGGCUAACUACGUGCCAGCAGCCGCGGUAAUACGUAGGGGGCAAGCGUUAUCCGGGUUCACUGGGCGUAAAGGGAGCGUAGACGGCGACGCAAGUCUGGGGUGAAAGCCCGGGGCGCAACCCCGGGACUGCUCUGGAAACUGCGUCGCUGGAGUACGGGAGGGGCAGGCGGAAUUCCUGGUGUAGCGGUGAAAUGCGUAGAUAUCAGGAGGAGCACCGGCGGCGAAGGCGGCCUGCUGGACCGUGACUGACGUUGAGGCGCGAGAGCGUGGGGAGCAAACAGGAUUAGAUACCCGCGUAAA
This 450-nucleotide ribosomal RNA is filed under the name uncultured bacterium. Its description in RNAcentral is "bacterial SSU rRNA". It matches the Rfam family "Bacterial small subunit ribosomal RNA", at positions 328 to 794 of the family's 1533-position model. The record is from RNAcentral.